CACUUUAAUUUUAACUUGAUAUUAGGCCUUGUCUCAAUUUGAGCUUUUAGAGUCAGACCCGAAAGAAAUGGCUAAAGAACAACCCUGUUCUGAGUCACCAACCCAAGCAGCCAAAAAUACUGUAGUAAUCUUCCUAACUUCAAGUGCUCUUAUUCCCAAAUAUUACUCGUUUAAAUAACAAAAAUAAAGACUAUCUCAAGGAAAGGAGAUAAUCAGCUUGCUAUCAUGGUCAUUUGUUGCGGAGGGUGAGGAGAGUUGUAUUUUGCAAGGUUAUCUGAAGAUUUUUAGAAAAAUGGAAUAAAACAUUGCAUUGUAUUCUGUAGCUUUAUGCUUUGCUUGAAGGAAAGUCACAGAAAGUCUAAAAUCCUGCUCAUAUCCUCUCACAUGAUGGGUCCAUUUCUUAUAGCCCUGAGUGUUUUAGAAAAUAGUUGGGUUACUGCUUUCUCAGUAAGGAACCCAUGUCACUCAGAGCAUAUAUUAAAGGCGCUUUUUCUAAAUUCUGGGCAUUUUAAAAACCAUUUCCUAAUAAUCUCCAUUGUGUGAUUUGCAUUUCACAUUGCUACCAUACACUUGGUGGCACUGUGGGCAAAAGAUUCCUGCAUUACAGGGGUUUGGACUAGAUGAAUCUUGGCGUCCCUUCCAACACUACAAUUCUACGAGCCUUGAGCAUUUUUCUCUGAGUAAUUCAUGGCACACCCAAGGUACUACCAGUAACUGCCGGCUCAGACCCCAUCAGAGUUUGUUUGACCUAAGAGUUUUUCAAACCCAGUGUUUUCUCAAGUGUUUUACCAUCUGAAGCUAGCGCAAUGAAUAGUAUUAGGAUUUAAUCCCUCUCCUGAUAAAUUAGGUGCCCGCUAAUAGUGAAUAGCAUCAGUUCCCAUGCCUAAAUUAAGAGAACAAAAUCUUACCUAAUGAAACACUGCAAUCACUUGCAGCUAUCUUCUUUUUGAAGUGCUGUAUCCCUUGCUGCCAGUUUUUAUAGUGAGGUGACAUGCGAGGAUGGCGCACAGGGAGGAAGCAUUUAGAAGACAACAGAUCAAUAGUUGAAGACAAAAGGUAAUCAAAGAGUCUUACAAGGCUGUCAAUACUGUAGCUUGUUACCUGGGCAGUAUCUCCCCUUAGAGAUCUCUUGCUUAUUUAACUUCUUUAUUAAAGCAAUGCCAAAGAAAACAAAGGGAUGUAGCCCAAGAGCAGAAAGAAAAUAAUUGUUAUUAUAAAUAAUAGUGGAUUUAUAUACAUUCUAUUUAGGGAUAUUGCUUGUGAGGGUAACUUGCCGUAUCUCUUAUAGUAACAACAAAAGCAUUCCCCAUCUGUCCUCAGUAUAUCUUCACAAUAGGCUUCACAAAUUCAUUCUAAAGAAGAAAAAGGUUUGGGCAGAAAAUGAGGGCUUUGUGGCGUUACAAUUGUAAGCUUUGCAACAAAACACUUUGAGUUGAUGUAUCCAGGUUAGAUAUUCCGUACUCAUGUUGCACAAAGUCUUUUCUGUUAAACUCCUGCUACUCUACAAACAGUGUGAAUCAUGCUUUUCUUAUCAAGUAGCUUAUAAAAAAAUGGUGCAGGUUUAGAUUGGGUUGAAACCUUGAAACUCUGCUAAAUGGAAGCUCAGACCAGUUUAUAUACAAGUUGGUUUUCAGAAAGUACCCUACCUAGGAUAUGCUGUGCAGUGAUAUAGAUAUUUAAGCUACUUUGCAGUAUGAUCCUCACAAUCUAAUUGAGCUGUUACAAAAUUUGUUCCCUUGUAUGAUACCCAAAUGGUUGGAUUUCUAAUUUCCCAGCCAAUCACAGUAUAAGGAACCCUUGGUGGACACUGAUUUUUAAUUGCACUUUAAUAAUAAACAAACUUGAUACCUUGCUUAAUGCAACUACAGUGGUACCUUGGGUUACAUAGGCUUUGGGUUACAUACGCUUCAGGUUACAGACUCCGCUAACCCAGAAAUAGUACCUCGGGUUAAGAACUUUGCUUCAGGAUGAGAACAGAAAUCGUGCUCCGGCGGUGCAGCGGCAGCGGGAGGCCCCCUUAGCUAAAGUGCUGCUUCAGGUUAAGAACAGUUUCAGGUUAAGAACAGACCUCCGGAACAAAUUAAGUUCUUAACCUGAGGUACCGCUGUAUAUUGUUCUAUAUGAUGAAAUCCUAUAGGGUGGCAUAAAACAAAGAGCUGUAUUCUGGAUACUAACUUUUUACCAAUACAUUUCAAAAUUUUCUUCACGAAAUAUACUUACUUGCUCUUAAUCCAUAUGGUUAACAACAACAACAAAAAAAGAAGCCUCACAGGUGGGAGGGUGGUCUACAUCAAAAUUUUGGUUCCAGGUGCCAUAUUGAUUCAAGAUGGAGGACCAAAAUGUGACUGUGGUGUCACUGUACCUGUUUUUUGGCAUAGGUUUGGCUGGCUCUUGAGAUAUUGUCAGGAAAUUUGACAUGAGAGUUCCAAAGGUGGGGGAAAUAGACUUCAUUGGUAUUUGGACACUAGGUGUCGAUUUAAUAAAUAUGGUGGACCAUAAUGUGACUUUGUUGUGACAUCACCUGAUUUUUGGCAGAAUGCAUCCAAACUCACAAAUUACACUAUCCAGUUAAAUAUCACAAUAUUUUUUGUUUUCUAAAAAAUCCUGGCAGCAGUGGGUACUCCUUAUUAGCUAGUGGCUAAUAAGAGAAAGCCGAAAUUUUUCAAAUGCAAGUGUUGUGUGUGUUCUCUAUAAGGGGCCUCAAACUGAAUUAUGUAGCAGUAUUUCAAAUGUUUCUGGGGAUGUGUUUCAUUUUAUCUUGUGUGCUAUAAAACGGUUUGGAAAACAAAUUUGAGUAGCCUGAUGCAGCCCUUUUCCAAUUAAAAAAGAAACCAGUUAGCUGUUCCUAAUCAGUCAAAAACCCUUGUAAGUAAGAUAUCAUAGUCCAAGUGUAUGUUUCUAACUGAGGGUAGUAUCUGCCAUUUUUAGAUGUUUCUUGUAAUGUAGCUUUUUUGUAUGGAAAAGUUCUUUAUUUGCCACCAUGUUCCUUCAGUGCAACCAGGUGGCACUCUCCGUUGGAUGCACCUUUUAAAUAUUAAUUGUCUAUAUUAUAUCAUCUGCUGCUUUAUAAAAUUACAGAGGAAGCAUGGUAGGAAGGCGUCUGAAUAACAUUAAGCAGACAUAACAAUAUUACUGCCUAGGCAACUGAUGCUUGAUCAAAGUGAAGCUAUUUAUCAAAUAGAAAUGAAAUUUACGAUCUCCACAUUAAGACCUUAUAUAUAUAUAUUGCAAAUUUCUGUUAACUUGUGAGGAGUAGUUUAUAUAUAGUCUCCAUAACAGAUUUAAAAUACUUUUGUUUUGUUUUUUAAUAGUAGCUGCACAGUCUAUGCAUGUUGUCUUGGAAGUAAAUCCCACUGUGUUCAGUGCAGCUUACUUCUAAGUAAGGGUGUUUAGGAUUGCAAAUUAAAACCUGCUGGAGAAUACACCAACAUUUCAGAAUUUGGAUCUCCUUGGAAAUCUGUUUAUCUUUUUUCCACAGCUGAUGUGCUAGGGAAGAAGAGCAAUUUUGUUUUCUCCCAAGUGGUUUAGAUUUGAUUUGAACUCGCAGCAGAGUUUAAGCUGAUGAAUAGCUUUUUAUUGAACAUGAAUAAAUUGAGAAAUUCAGAUUAGUCAGCCACUUUUUCCUCAUAAUUUAUAUUAUGAAAAAGAUGUAUGUGGCGAAAAAUAGAACACAAAGGUAUGCACAUUUGAUGACUUGUGCUGGAUGACUUGCUAAAUUAAUAGAAUAAUUAAUGAAUUUUGAUGCUGUUACAAGCGUUUUCCUUUUCCUUUUACAUUAUUCUUAUGAAGGUGGGGGGAGCAGGGGCGGAAAACACAGCUCAUGGAAACAGGGUCAGUCACCAUGAAAGACAACAGGACACUGGGCAGCCACUUGCAAACACACUGACUGAUAUCCAACAUUAGUCAUACUCAGAGCAAACCCAUUGAAAUUAAUGUACUUGUACUUUGCUUCCAACGAGUGUACUCUGUAUGAAUAACACUGGACAUCAUAUUGGGAAACAAAGACUCAUUGCCAGUUCACCCUGGAAGAAGACUCAUCAAACAAACAAAUGGUAAAAAUGUCAUAUUCGUUCCAACAUUAGAAGAUCGGUCAAACAAUUCUGUAAGUGUGGGCAGAUGGGUUUGAAUUAAUGUAUAUGAGGGAAGCCUUGGGUAUAUGAACCACGCAUGGGCAUCCAGGCCAAGCAUUCACUGGUGUGCAUACCAGACGUAACAAGCAUCUCCCAUGAUCUCCCAAGCC
Podarcis lilfordi (Lilford's wall lizard) is the source of this 4240-nucleotide non-coding RNA. NCBI's taxonomy places the organism in Eukaryota, Metazoa, Chordata, Lepidosauria, Squamata, Lacertidae. The record is from the annotation of a GenBank genome assembly.